CAUGGUUCGAAAUUGAAAGGCGGCUUCGGCUGUCACUUAUGGAUGGACCCGCGUCGCAUUAGCUAGUUGGUGAGGUAACGGCUCACCAAGGCAACGAUGCGUAGCCGACCUGAGAGGGUGAUCGGCCACACUGGGACUGAGACACGGCCCAGACUCCUACGGGAGGCAGCAGUAGGGAAUCUUCCGCAAUGGACGAAAGUCUGACGGAGCAACGCCGCGUGAGUGAUGAAGGCUUUCGGGUCGUAAAACUCUGUUGUUAGGGAAGAACAAGUGCUAGUUGAAUAAGCUGGCACCUUGACGGUACCUAACCAGAAAGCCACGGCUAACUACGUGCCAGCAGCCGCGGUAAUACGUAGGUGGCAAGCGUUAUCCGGAAUUAUUGGGCGUAAAGCGCGCGCAGGUGGUUUCUUAAGUCUGAUGUGAAAGCCCACGGCUCAACCGUGGAGGGUCAUUGGAAACUGGGAGACUUGAGUGCAGAAGAGGAAAGUGGAAUUCCAUGUGUAGCGGUGAAAUGCGUAGAGAUAUGGAGGAACACCAGUGGCGAAGGCGACUUUCUGGUCUGUAACUGACAC
This 572-nucleotide ribosomal RNA is filed under the name Bacillus thuringiensis. Its description in RNAcentral is "bacterial SSU rRNA". It matches the Rfam family "Bacterial small subunit ribosomal RNA", at positions 188 to 746 of the family's 1533-position model. The record is from RNAcentral. Lineage: Bacteria; Bacillati; Bacillota; Bacilli; Caryophanales; Bacillaceae.